UAUAAGGAAACCAAAAUGUUGUGUUAGUACCAGGACAGUUGCGUGUGUACGUACUUGUGAUUUCUUUUUCUUUCUUUCUUUUUUUUUUUUCUGAAAUGGAGUCUUGCCUUGUUGCCCAGGCUGGAGUGCAGUGACGCCAUCUCAGCUCACUGCAAGCUCCGCCUCCCAGGUUCACGCCAUUCUCCUGCCACAGUCUCCCGAGUAGCUGGGACUACAGGCGCCCGCCACCAUGCCCGGCGUGAGCCCAGAUAGCGCCAGUGCACACCAGCCUGGGCCACAGAGUGAGACUCUGUCUCAAAAAAUUAAAAGGAACAAAAUGAACCCAUUUAUACAAAGACUACAAGGGUGGAGAGACUUGGAUAGCAUGCAGGAUAUUCACAAGCAAUUCUGGAAGAAAAAUGGCAGAUGAGUGCAUUCUGUUAUUAAAAUCACAGCUCAGAGUCCUCCCAGGAAAUGGCUGCGGUGUGUAGGGAGCUGUCUUUCACAGUGAUGAAAAGAACUCUAGGUUCAGAGUGGGCAGGUAUCUGGAAGAACAUUUUUUCGCCAGCAUCCCUUUAUUUAUUGAUACGUCGAUGAGAAUAGUACCACAGCCCAAUGACAUUUAUCAUUUCAGUUGGCAGUGUCUCUGAGAGCAAGCUGCAAGAUUUUCAAGCCUUCACUGAGUCUUCUACUGACAUUUAGCUUAAUCUUGACAAGUAUAUCUGACUACUGCAAUGUGUUAAUGAUCAAGGAGUAUGUCAAAUUAUAACAUGUCUGCUGCAGGAAAUUAUGGGGCAAUACAGACAGUGUGCACUGGAUCAACCAUUAUCUAUGCCUGGUGUUAUGACAAAAAUGAUUGAUUUUGGCAUCAAAAUUAAAGUGUUCGUCUGGUUCAACUUGUUCUUUGUACACCGUCCUUCAUUAUGACAAGCACAUAUAGCAAAAAUACUGUCUUCAAUAUGAACUGUUGAUUAUUGAUUAAACAGAUCACAUUUGGAUGGGCUGCAGUUUCUGCAUGUCUAACGGAUGGGAUCCUUCUGAGAAUGCUAGAGUAGGGAAUCAUGACACCGAGCCACUUCAGUCAUAGACCUUAUUCUU
Molecule: long non-coding RNA, 1077 nt
Filed under: Homo sapiens (human)
Lineage: Eukaryota; Metazoa; Chordata; Mammalia; Primates; Hominidae
Description: non-protein coding lnc-CNTNAP3-5:1
Source: RNAcentral